AGCAGCAGGAGGAGGCAGAGAGCACAGCAUCGUCGGGACCAGACUCGUCUCAGGCCAGUUGCAGCCUUCUCAGCCAAACGCCGACCAAGGAAAACUCACUACCAUGAGAAUUGCAGUGAUUUGCUUUUGCCUCCUAGGCAUCACCUGUGCCCUACCAGUUAAACAGGCUGAUUCUGGAAGUUCUGAGGAAAAGCAGCACUAAAGAUGUACCUACCCCUCCACAACAGAUGAAACUGUGCCAGCCAAACAACAAAUGGGCAUUGUCCCCAGAAGCUUGGACAAAAAGGCACACAGAGUUCAAUUCCAGUUGAACAGAAUAAAGGCCAAAAUAGAGCUGCCUUGGGGGUCACUGCAAUUAGACUGCUUAAUGAAGACAUUAAAAGAAGUAUUCUGUGUUCGUUUGUGUGUGGAGGGGUGUGUGUGUCUGUUUUUCAACUGAUUUGAAAAUACAGGUGUUGAAUCCUAAUAAUAAACCAGAAAAAUUAACAUCUCCAGAGAAGAUAGAGGUCAUACUAUUUGAGGCAAGAAUUAGCGCCUUUUUAAUAAACGAAAAUAUGGC
RNAcentral lists this small RNA (559 nucleotides) under Pan troglodytes (chimpanzee). RNAcentral's name for it is "retained intron". Lineage: Eukaryota; Metazoa; Chordata; Mammalia; Primates; Hominidae. The record is from RNAcentral.